AUUGAACGCUGGCGGCAUGCCUUACACAUGCAAGUCGAACGGCAGCACGGGAGCAAUCCUGGUGGCGAGUGGCGAACGGGUGAGUAAUAUAUCGGAACGUGCCCGGUCGUGGGGGAUAACGUAGCGAAAGCUACGCUAAUACCGCAUACGAUCUACGGAUGAAAGCGGGGGAUCGCAAGACCUCGCGCGAUUGGAGCGGCCGAUAUCAGAUUAGGUAGUUGGUGAGGUAAAGGCUCACCAAGCCAACGAUCUGUAGCUGGUCUGAGAGGACGACCAGCCACACUGGAACUGAGACACGGUCCAGACUCCUACGGGAGGCAGCAGUGGGGAAUUUUGGACAAUGGACGCAAGUCUGAUCCAGCCAUUCCGCGUGCAGGAUGAAGGCCCUCGGGUUGUAAACUGCUUUUGUACGGAACGAAAGGUUUCUAUUAAUACUAGGAGCUCAUGACGGUACCGUAAGAAUAAGCACCGGCUAACUACGUGCCAGC
Molecule: ribosomal RNA, 488 nt
Filed under: uncultured bacterium
Lineage: Bacteria
Description: bacterial SSU rRNA
Rfam family: Bacterial small subunit ribosomal RNA
Source: RNAcentral